UAAAUCCAGUCUAAUGUUGUCGAGGUCACAAAAUAUCCGACGUGGUUGGCCAACAUCAUCCCUGUGCCGAAGAAGGACGGCAAGAUUCGAAUUUGUGUUGACUAUAGAGACUUGAAUAGAGCCAGUCCUAAAGAUAAUUUUCCGUUGGCCAACAUCCACAUUCUCAUCGAUAACUGUGCAAAACAUGAAAUGCAGUCAUUCAUUGAUUGUUUCACCAGGUAUCAUCAGAUAUUGAUGGAUGAGAAAGAUGCAGAAAAAUGGCUUUUAUUACACCCUGGGGUGUUUAUCAUUACAGGGUAAUGCUGUUUGGUCUCAAAAAUAUGGGUGCAAUAUAUAUGAGGGCUAUGACGACAAUUUUCCAUGAUAUGAUCCAUAAAGAGAUUAAGGUAUACGUGGAUAACGUAAUUAUCAAAUCCCGUGAGAGUUCUGAUCAUCUGACUCAUCUGGAGAAAUUUUUCAACAGAUUAAGAAGGUACAGUUUGAAAUUAAAUCCUGCUAAGUGUGCUUUUGAUGUGCCAUCAGGGAAGUUACUGGGGUUCAUAGUCAGUAGAAGAGGCAUUGAGUUAAACCUAUCCAAAAUCAAGACAAUUCAGGAUUUGCCACCGUCGAAGACUAAGAAGGAAGUUAUGAUUUUCAUAGGUCAUUUGAAUUACAUUAGCAGGUUCAUCACGCACUCAACAGUCAUAUGCGAGCCAAUUCUCAAGAUGUUGAAGAAAAAUGCAUUGAACAAGUGGAUAGAAGAAUGUCAGAGAGCUUUUAACCGCAUCAAGGAAUACUUGUCUGCACCGCUGGUUUUGGUUCCGCCAAGAGAAGAAAUUUCAUUAUUGCUUUACCUGUCAGUCUCAGAAAAUGCUUUCGAAUGUGUCCUCGGACAACAUGAUGAGACCGGUAGGAGAGAGAAAGCCAUUUACUACUUAAGUAAAAAGUUCACACCAUACGAAGCCUAUUACACUCUUGUAGAAAGGACAUGUUGUGCUUUGACUUAGAUGGCACAAAAGUUGAGGCAUUAUCUGUCAUCCUACACAAUAUAUCUCAUCUCGAGAAUGGAUCCAUUAAAGUAUAUUUUCCAAAAGGCCAUGCCUACGGAAAAGCUAGCCAAGUGGAAAAUGUUGCUGAGUGAGUUUGACAUUGUGCAUGUAACCCAAAAAGCAAUCAAGGGGCAAGCCUUAGCAGAUCAUUUGGCAGAGAACCCAGUUGAUGAGGAAUAUGAGCCACUUCGAACUUACUUUCCAGAUGAGGAAGUUUUGUUCGUAGGAGAAGACAUUAUAGAGAUUUACCCUGGAUGGAGGCUAUUUUUUGAUGGGGCAGUCAACUUCGAAGGUUCAGGAAUUGGAGCAGUUAUGGUGUCAGAAAUGGACCAGCAUUAUCCGAUAACUGCUAUGUUACAUUUUCCAUACACCAAUAACAUGGCUGAAUAUGAGACUUGCAUUCUGGGUAUCAAAUUGGCACUUGAUAUGGGUGUUCGUGAAUUGUUAGUCAUCGGGGAUUCAGAUUUGCUGAUUACCAGGUACGAGGAGAAUGGUCAGUAAAAAAUCCCAAGAUCACUCCUUAUGUGGAGCUGGUGCAAGAAUUAUGUAAAAGAUUCAAGGAAGCUGAUUUUAGGCAUAUUCCACAGAUAAAAAAUGAGUUUGCUGAUGCUUUGGCCACUAUAUCUUCCAUGAUUCAGCACCUGGAUCAGAGUUACAUUGAUCCUUGGGAAAUAAGCUUGAAAGAGCAACCCGCGCAUUGUGUACAUGUGGAAGAGGAGCCUGAUGGAAAGCCUUGGUACUAUGACAUUAAAAGGUAUUUGGAAUCUGGAAUAUAUCCUGAAGAGGAUAGUAACAACCAAAAGAAGAGAAUCCGGUGUUAGGCAAAGAAUUACUUUCCAAGUGGGAAAAUUCUUUUUAAGAGGACUCCUAAUUUGGGAUUCCUAAGAUGCGUCGAUGCUGCGGAAGCUAAUAAAUUGAUAAAAGAGGUACACGCUGGAAUUUGUAGCCCCCACAUGAAUGGGUUUGUCCUUGCCAGAAAGAUCCUGAGAACCGGUUACUUCUGGAUGACUAUGGAAAAUGAUUGUAGUAAGUAUGUGCAGAGAUGUCUAAAAUGUCAAAUACACGGAGAUCUGAUUCGAAUGCCUCCACACGAGCUUCACACAAUGAAUUCGCCUUGGCCUUUCAUAGCUUGGGGCAUGGAUGUCAUCGGACCAAUAGAGCCAUUAGCAUCAAAUGGGCAUAGAUUUAUUUUGGUUGCCAUUGAUUAUUUCACUAAGUGGGUCAAAGCGGCUUUGUACAAAGCCGUCACUAAGAAAGUGAUUGUGGAUUUAGUCAGGAAUAAGUUGAUUUACCGGUUUGGAGUACCAGAAUCGAUCAUUACUGACAAUGGGGCAAACUUGAACAGUCACUUGACAAAAAAAAAUUUGUGAUUAGUUCAAGAUUGUGCAUCGCAACUCGACUGCAUAUCGUUCCCAAAUGAAUGGAGUUAUGGAAACGGCCAACAAGAAUAUCAAGAAGAUCUUGAGAAAAAUGGUCGAAAAUAAUAGAUCAUGGAAUGAGAUGUUACCUUACGCCUUGCUAGGGUAUCACACAACAGUUCGAACCUCCACCGGGGUGACCCUCUAUUUGCUUAUCUAUGGGAUUGAAGCUGUGAUACCUGCUGAAGUUGAAAUACCUUCCCUAAGGAUUAUUUAGGAAGCUGGACUAAGUAACGAAGAAUGGGUUCAUGCUCGGUAUGAAAAACUCAUGUUGAUUGAUGAAAAGAGAAUGGUCACUGUAUGCCAUGGUCAGUUGUACUAACACAGGAUGGUUCGUGCCUUUAACAAGAAGGUGAGAUCUCAGGCAUUUGAAGUGGGGCAACUGGUUCUCAAACGAAUAUUCCCUCACCAAGAGGAGUACAAGGGCAAGUUCGCUCCAAACUGGCAAGGGCCAUACAUAGUUCGCAAGGUGCUAUCUGGAGAAGCUCUGAUUUUUUCUGGGAUGGAUGGCACAAAGUGGACCAAACCAAUCAAUUCCGACGUGGUAAAGAGAUAUUAUGUUUAAAGGACAUUCUAGCUUUUGUGUUUCUUUAGUUAAUUUACUUGUAAUCUCCUUUGUAAUAAUGUUGUUUUCUAGUGUGUGACUGUCUAGAGUCCUUUCCUCUUAUGUACGAACUACGUUUGACCUGAAUUCCCAAGAAAAGGAUACGUAGGCGGCCUAUGUCGGCUUCGGUCAACCCCUUAGGAUAAUUUAUCCUUUUCUCUUAUGUAUGAACUACGUGAUGACCUGAAUUCCCAACAAAAGGGAUACGUAGGCGGCCUAUGUCGGCUUCGGUCAACCCAUUAGAUUUUCUAUAUAUAUCUCUAGCGUAGUCCUGAACUACGUUUAACCUGAUUCCUGCUUCAACAGGAUACGUAGGCACCCCAACAGCUUGGUCAUAUGACCCCAGGAAAUGGAAACUGGGACAGAAUUUUCGAGAAAGAAUCUCAAAAACAGAAGAGAAGAUCGACAUCCAACAAAAAGAAUGAAGAUCAGCAAAGACUUCAGAUCCACUCGGAUUGGUAUCAUCUCAAACAACUUUAAACUAAGGCAGAAAUGUUGAGGAAGACCUCAAAAUUUCCACCAAAUGCCGGAACAUAUUCCAAAUUCCCUAGAACCAAAGGUUAAAGCUCUUUGGAAGCCACCAACUGUAACAAAGUCUGGGUAGACUCAAUUUUUGGCUAUGAUAGAACUACUUGAUGAAACCCUCCAAUAAUGAUCAUGAGUUUUGGAAACCAUCCAUUGAAUAUAGUCAAAACCAUGAGGAGGACGUUCCUUGAGCUACUACAUGACAUGACUGACAGAGAUUUUCUAAAGUUUUACAGAAGUUUUCAAAAUUAUUUUCAAAAAUUUAAGUCUAUUUUCAAAAAUCUUACAACUCACUUAUUUAGUACUUGCUUAGACAUCAUUUGGGAUGAUGUGUCAGGGUGGAAGUCCCAACAUGACGGAAUGCCCGAGAGAUGGCAAGGAGCAAAUCGAGGAUCGAAAAAGGUCAACAUGGAGUAAUUUCAUUCAAACUACCCUAAAAAUGGGUUAACAACUAUUUAUUGAGGACCUUUUGAUUUGUCCAUCUCAUUUCUUGAGAUCAUAGGCGAUAAACAAAAACGCCUAGUCUUCUUUACAAAUAUUGUAUUUAGAAGUUUCCUAAAAAUAGUCGCUAGCAAAAACGACUUUGUGUCUACUAAUCGCCUACCUUGAGCACAGGUACAUGUAGAAAGCAAGACGAUGACAGAUGAAUUCAGGUAAAAUUAUUUUAUCAUUGCUGCAAAGCGUUGCUCCAAGGGCCAUUACAUAUCAUUACCGCAAGACAUUGCCCCAAGGGCCAUUGCAUAUUAUUGUCGCAAGGCGUUGCCCCAAGGGCUAUGGCAUAUCAUCGCCACAAGGGCUAUUGCAUAUCAUCAUCACAAGGGAUAUUGCAUAUCAUCGCCACAAAGGCUAUGGCAUAUUAUCGCCACAAGGGCUAUUGCAUAUCAUUGCCCCAAGGGCCAUUACAUAUCAUUGCCACAAAGGCCAUCUCAUACCAUCUCCCCAGAAGGCAUUCAACAUAUGUUGACACGCUAGACAGAAAUAUUGGCGUCGAGGAUAUCUCAUCAUUUCAUGAAUCAGCAUAUGAAUGCAUCGAGGGUACACGAUUUGAAGGGAUGCCUUUAAGUCGCUAUCCAAGGAUAAAUGAUAUAUAAGGUUUCCUAGAAAUUGACAAUUUGAGGGUCACCUAUAAGCCACAUUAUUUGAAAUAGAAUAGUGUGCAAGAUCACCUAUGAGUUGAUAGCAUGUAGGUCAUUCGUAAGCCACAACAACAUCCUAAUCGGAUAAUGUGCAAAAUCGCCCAGAAGUUGAUAGUUCAAAGGUUAUUCGUAAGUCGCAACUAAAUCCUUACCGAAGGAUAUGCAAGAUUGUCAAAUUGAUACGUCCAAGAGUUCUCUAUAAGCCACGUCAUAUCCUAGAUCGAUUAUGUACAGGAUUACCCAAAGACUAAUAAUUUGAGGGAUUAUCUAUAAGUCAUAUUGUAUCCAAGGUCGGAUGAUGUACAGGAACACCUGAAAACUAGCGAUUGGAGAGAUAUCUGUAAGCCAUCUCUUAUCCAAAGUCGGAUAAUAUGCAAGAUUGCCUAAAAGCUAGAAAUUCAAAGGAUAUCUGUAAGUUGCCUCGUAUCCGAUAUCAAAUAAUAUGCAAGAUUAUCCAAAGAUUGACAAUUUGAGAAAAAUUUAUAAAUCGAUCAUCGGCUAUAACCGGAGAGGUUAUCAUUCCACACACGACAAGUAAUACAGGUAACCAAAAAGGUUGCCACACCAGUAUAAGAUUACACGAUUGUAGGGACCGUUCUGCAUAAAGUAUCACCGGGGUCACCCCACUUUGAAAACAUAUUUGCUCGACAAAUGUCAUAAUUAUACAACAACCAAAAGGGUUGUUGUGUUUGUUGUUGCGGGUUAUUUCAUUCCAAACAGGUACAUAAAGAGAUGACUCCGCCUUUCAGGCCACAACUCAUGUGGAGAUAUGGUAAAAAACUACCUGCCUCUUUCGUGAAUUAUGUUAGCACUAACAAUUUUGUUUGAGAUAUUGCCGAGAGAAGCCAAGAGAAUGAAAAUCUCAAAUAAAACCCACAGGUGCGGGCGAUUCCAAAAAGAAUACAACACAACGUGGAACUCUUUCUUAGCAGCAAAAUGGGACAUAGUCUAAAGAGGGACGUCAAACUCUUUGCGAGCUAAAUGAUGAUCACCACCACCAUCUAAACACGCCUCUAUUAGAAGGCAUGUGGGUACUUUUGGAUAUUCUGGUCUCACCUUUACCUCUAGGAUGUUUGUUAACUCAUACUGAGGAGAACUUUCUUUUCUUUCAAAUUCGGGUGGCAACACACUUAGAGUUUUGGAAAUUAUGCCCACGUAAAUUCUUAUAUAAGAAGAGCUCCACAUUCAUGGUUAAGAGGUUACAAGAAUCUUUUCCGCAACUCAUUAACUUGUCACUCGUCCCGAGCCAAAGAUCGUCUAAAAUAGAAGACUAUCUUUUCUACUGAUCGAGUCGAACUACAAGCAGUCUGAUUCCCUAAAAUCUUGGGGAUAUGUGGGCUGGAAUCUAUGUAGAAAACUCGACUGCAUUCCAACCUCCCCCCAAUCCCUUUAUUCCCCAGUUUCUCAGUUUUAUCAAAAACUCUAAAAUCGAGGUAACUUGUGAAUUUUUUGAAAAUCAUGCUCAAGAUCAAGCUUUAUGAACUACAAGUGGCCUGAAUUCUCAUGAAAUCUGAGAUAUGUAGGAAACCUGAUACCGAGGUUCGGCCAUAACUCCAUGAAUCUCAUUCGGAAAACCAACCUCUCUUAGAUACAAAUUUGUGGUUGGACAAAAAUUAGGAACGUCAACCUCCCUUUGCCCAGGAUUACUUGCAUCCAUCCUACCCAAGGGGAGGGGGAAGUUGUUGACACCUAAUUUUUGCCGUCCACAACUACAUUUAAUCUCGAGUUUCUUUGAUUUUCAAAUAAAAUCAUAGCAAUUAUUUUUCCAAAUAAAUGCAUUUUAAAAUAGGCAUUUGGGCUAAUUUUGUCAUUUAAAGUGAUAAUUAUAUAUUUUCAUAUUUGCAUAUAUGAGAUUGUAUAAAUUAUGUCAUUUAAAUGAACAUUUUCAUCACAUUGGGAUUUAAAUUAAGGAUUAUUUGAAAAAUAAAUAAAUAAUUAAAGUCUUGAUUUAAACAAAAUUUAUUCUCAAAUAAUUUAUUUGGAUAUAUACUUGUUUGAUUUUAUUAAAUCAAGAAACUUGGGAUUAAAAGAGAUAUUAAUUUGUAUCGAGAAUUAUUUUAAUUUAGCCAUUCUAUUGAAUUUGACCAUAAUUGAAACUAAAUGGGCCAUAAUUGCAAUACAAUUGGCCAAUUGACUUUUGAUUUGGUUAAAAUUUAAAUAGAAUGAACUGAAUUAAAAUUGAUGUUGUUUUUCUAAGUAACCCCACAAUCUACCCAAUACCCAAAAACUUAACCAAUUAAAAAGCCCAAACCGAAGGCCCAUUUUCUUUUAUCCAACAAUUAAAACUACAACCAGCCUUUUCCUUACAAUUUUUGUCGCCCGAAGCCCACUCCAACAGCUAUAACUCGGCCCAUCUUCCAAUCCCCCUUUCCCUUUAAUCAGUAACCAAAGCUACUACAGCUACAAGGUUCAACUUCAACCACAGCCUUCAACUACCAGAACAAUACAAACACGCUACAACAUCAUACAAGCCUCAGCAAAAUGACAAUAUCGGUUUCCAUCUACCAACGAUUUCAACCCUUAAAUCGAGCUCCAACCCAUUUGUUUCUUUUUCAUCACGUGUCUCACGCUGGUUUGUACUCGUAGGGCUCGGGAACAUUCUAGAACAAGCCUAGGUGGCUCAUCCAACGUCCAUAUUUCGCAAAUCUUGGGUACCAUUGUACGAAUCCAUACAUAAUUGGUUGAUUUUCAUUGGUUUGGAAUAAAUUAUGUUUUUUCUAAUUUUGAUUGGUCCACCCGCUCGCAUUUAUCUGAGAAAAUUCCAAAAUUCAUAGGAGUUUGUUAGUAUAAAACAUUAUCUAAGUUCAAAUUUUGAAUUCCUUCUGGAAGAAAAUCAUAAAAUUAUCCACAGGAGGCCCCAUUUUUGUUUCCAUCGAUUGAAACACUAAAAAAUGAACCCUAGCCCAUUCUCUAUAUAAAGUCUGUUUUAGGAAGCUCAGGGGGAAGAGAGUUCUUUCUAGGGUUGGAGUUCUGAGGUUCAGAUAAGGUAGAUUUUUCCUCGAUGACAUUUUUAGGGUUUGAUUUUUUUUGAGGUGGAAACUUUGAGGUUUCAAAGAUUUCUUAGAAAAAGGGAAACCCAUAGUUUUAGGAUUCUUCUUUUUUCUGUUUCUGUGGAAUCCUUACUGGUGAUUGAAGCUUUUAAGCGAGAGAUGAAGAUAUCAAUGUGUUAGGGUUCUCAAAAUAUAAAAGCUAUCUCCUUUUUCUGUAAAAUAUCGUCUCGUCUGCUGUAGAGGCCCUGAAGGCCAUAGGUUUGGUUGCGAUGAUGUUCAUGUUGUGAUAUUCAAGUAAUUUCAAUUGUAUUUUGUAUUAUAUGUGAGCUGUGUCGGCUAAGGAAGAAAAGAAUUUUUAUUGACUGCAUGUUUAAACUUUGAUCAAAACCUGUUGGGUUGAGUUUUAUAUCGCUAUUUGUUUGACUAUAUGGGAUAGAAAACUGCAUAUUGAUGGAAGUUGGCAAUUUAUGUUUUUGAUUUUGUAUCAUUCCUAGUUGUUUGGUCUUUCCUUGAUACAAUUUUGCUCAUGUACCGUUAGUAGUUAUCCAUUCGAAAUCGUGGCCUGGCAGUGCAAAUUUCAUGUCCUCUUUGAUUUUUCUUUUGUAGAAAAUGUUUGGAGUCUUACUCAUGUUUGGUCCAUCAUGUCUUUUCAUUGCUUCAACAAGAUAAACUCUUCAUCAUGUUGUCUUUAACGACUAAUGUCAAAAGAAGCGGUAGGUUUACCCUCCAAAGAUGUCAAGACGAUCCUUUAAAAUGUCCAUUUUGAGUAGUUUUGCUUUCUCUGAUUUCUUUUCUCAAGAAUGCGACAUCCUUUAAUAAAUUGAAUAUCCAGUGAAUGUUUUGAUAAUAGAAGAUCUUUUCAUUCUUCCAUGAUGUCUAAACGCCAAUAUUUUAAUUUUUCCACCUAAGUAAUAUGUUCGAAAAUCUUCUGGGGUUUGGAAUUAACGCCGUUGUUUGUCAAAACUUGAUUUUUCUCGCGUAUCUCAUCUAGCAAUCUGAUUUAGUCCUUUCUGAGAAUUUUGUUGUCAUGUUUGUACAAUGCAUAAAUAAAAAUGUGUAAAUUUUAGUUAAGCAAGUUUUUUUUUUAAUUCCAAACAAGUAUGACACCCAAUUGGUUUACCUCCCUGGGAUAGACUUAUGAGUUUAGUUAUCAUUGUUCUCUUCUCCCUUAUUUUUGGCAUAACACGCUUGUUUACUGCUAGUAAUUCACAUGCUAGCCUAGUGAGUUUCGAUCCAUGUACAAUCCUUGUCGAAUUGAUUCAUUCAUAUUUUAUUCUUACUUUAUGCGGACUUUUCUUGUGUAAUGUUUGAAUUACAAGUUGUUUGCUUCAUUUACUAAAAACUUGGAGUGAACUAUAUGGUUUUAAUUUUCUUUAGCUUCCUGAACCUUGGUAUGACAUAUUUCUUGUAGCAUCUGAGGUCGCCAAAAGAUUCUCUCAUAGCAAUAUUAGUUGUUCCCGAAUGAAAACAGAGAGAUUAGACUAAUGUGAAUUUUAUUAUAUGCCAUAAUGCCGUCCCAUGUCUUUUUUAGUUAGUCAUUCAUUAGGUGUCAACUUUCAAAAAUAGGUUAAGUUCUUUACUUCUUUCUUUGCAUUCCAGAUAUGUGUUAAUUUUCUCUUUUUUCUCUUUUGCAUGUGAAUUUAUUCUCUGAGUUUGAAUGGACUCCUUCCUUCCACAUUUUUGCAAUGGGCCAUUGAGGCCCGUCAGAUUAGAAGACUUUGAACGCCCAUUAGUACGAUCGCAAGGAGUCGAAGAAAAAAAAGAAGGAUUAAAUCCACUUGAAGCGGCUACAAGACCCAAAAAUUUCAUUUGUUAUUAUGUCGUCUUUGUUUUUAUUUAUUUAUUUUCUCAUUUAUUUAUUCGAACCUCGAAGCCAAAGUUGUAUUUAAUACAGGUGGAGGCAAAACUCGAGCUAAAGGCUUAAAAAUAUAGAAUUAGGACAGGUGAAAGGAGAAAUGGGUUGAAAACCCAACUAGAUUAGGACAUGUUUAGCGAUUUGGGCUUCAAAGCCUAAAUCACUACUUUUUCUCCCUUCCCCUUUCUUUUUGAUUAUUUGUUUUGCAUGCCUUUUUGCGAACCUAGUCAAAUCCCCUAAUGAAUUCUCUAAAAAUUAACUUUUACAAACUUUCAAAGUAUUUCUAAAAGUCAACCAUUUUUCAAUAAAUCAAAUUUUAGAAAGUUAAUCAAAGAUGUUUUCAAACAGUUCGGAUAACCGCAAGUUAGCAGACGUUUUAGGUGCCUAACACCUUCCUAAAACGUUAAUAGGAACCGUUUAUCUAGAAUCUCUAACUUAAUAUGAUUUCCCUAUUUUAAAUCAUUUAAAAUGUUUUAUAAAGGUUUCUUAAUUCCUUUUCAAAUUUAAGUGGCGACUCUUUCAAAAAUAAAAAAUUUUCGCAAAACAGAGGCCAUAGAAUCCCUCCCCCCAUGUUAAAAUCCACUAUAAGAACAGUUUGUGCAUCAUCAGGCACGGCUUCUAUAAUUGCUGAGUUAGCAGCAAAAUAAGCAAAUUUCCCCAAUGGGAAAACUUGGUAGAAGACCUUGAAUGUUGCUUCAAUAAUCUUACUUGAUUAUUGUCUCAAGUAACUUCCUUGAUCCUCUAUUUCCAGUAAUAAGUUAGAAGCAACACGUUCCAGUGAUUCACCUAAAGGAUUUAUUUUUUCCUUUAUGUUUCUUAUGAUCACUUCUGCUGGUUCCUUGUGACCAUUCUUCAUGGCCUCUCCAUAAGCUGCAAAUAAAUGAUGAAGUCUCAUUUGGCUAUCCAUUUCUCUAAUAUUUCCUGGAAGUAUAAGUGAAGUAGCACUAUUUGUUGAUGACAAAAGCUCACUAGAUACUCAUGAAAGAGCAAGACUCCAUUAAUCUCCAUCUCUUUUCAUUUCAGAAGAGAUGUUGUUCAUAUUUCCAUUUCCUUCACUUUCAUUAUCAUUCAACCAUCGGCAGACAUCAUCGAACUCCGAGUCAUCCAUGGGAAUAUCAGUAAGAACAUCAUCAUCUGAGAAAAGGGAUGUGAAAUCUGAGAAGGACUGGGAUGUGAAAUCUAAGAAGGAAAUCCCAGAGGAAUCUUGAUCCUUGGAGUUGAGUGAAGAAUAAGUUAUACCAUGCUUUCCAUUUUCAUAAUCACUUUGGAUGCCACAAAAUUCAGUUUGAUGGAAAGUUGAACACCAUGAGUUGUGAAGAAGCUCUGAUUGCAUCUUCUUGAUGCUUUCUUACAGGGAAAAAAGAAAUUUUUCUCUUUUUUUUAUAGGUUUGUGUUUCAGUGUUUGAUCCAUAUGAUUUGGGUAGGUAUAUAUAUAUUAAUAGGGGAAACUUUUAAAUAAUUUCCGUUGAGAAGAAUUCUCAUAAAGGGAUGUCAUAACAAUUGAAAUUCCAACUUAGAGACAUCUAGGAAAUUUUGAGUUUUACAUAGGCUUAAGUCAUCGACAUGCUCUCAAACUUAUUCCGAAAAAUCACUCAGACCCCUCAACUAAGGUCUGAGCCUAUCAGGCUCCUAACCCACCCGAAUUUUGAUCCAAUUGGGCCUUUUUUGUCCAAUCAGCUAAGAGCUCAAAUGUGUGUAAUACACACGCGAUGAUGUGGCAAAAAGAGCUAAUUGGAAGCUGACAUGUGGCAUUGUGGGUCCAAUAAUUAUUAAAAGCUUAAUUAUAAUUUAAAACAAAGAUAGAGGAAGAAGGAAAAUGGGUCAAAACCCAUUGAUGAGGUCAUUAAGAGACUUGAAAAGUCUCAGUUUUUAUUAUUUUCUUCUUUUUAUUUAUUCAUUUAGUCAUUUACUUAUUCAUUCAUUUCGUCCUCGAAGCAAAAGUUGCAUUUAAUAUAGGUGGAGCAAGACUCGAGCCAAAGGCUCGAAAAAUAGUUUAGGACAUGUGAAAUGGGUCGGAAGCCCAACUUGACUAGGACAGGUCUCGUUGAUUUGGGAUCAAUGGCCUAAAUCCUUUACUUUCUCCUCCCUUCCCCUUUUAUGUGUUUAUUAGUUUUGUUUAGACUUAGUUAAAAUCUCUGCUAAGUCGCCUAAAUCUAUUUUACACAAGUUUUUUUUAAAAAAAAAAAUCAAAUCACUAUUUCAACAAAUUAAUCUUUUCAGAAGUUAAUCAAAAGAUGUUUUCAAACAGUCCGGAUAACCGGUUAAUAGGAAUCACUUAUCUAGAAUCUCUAACUUAAAAUGAUUUUUCUGUUUUGAAUCGUUUGAAGUAACUCUCUAAAGGUUUCUUAAUUCCUUUUCAAAAUUAAGUGGCGACUCUUCUCAAAAAGUCAAAAUUUCUCUGCAAAAUAAUGGAUAGGCGCUCCUUCCUCUCCAGCAGAAGACAUGCUCAACUCCAUGUCGUGAGCACGAGUAGCUAACUCUUCAAAGGAUUUUGGCUUAAUGCCUUGCAAGAUGUAGAGAAGCCCCAGUGCAUUCCUUGGAUGCUCAUCUUUAUUGCAAAAGCUUCGCUGAGCCUAUCUUUACAGUUUAGACUAGCAUUUCUCCAUCGAUUGAUAAAGUCAAUUACUGAUUCGUCCUUUUUUUGUCGAGUAUUUGUGAGCUCUACCAUGCCCACUGUACGUCUUGUGCUUUAAAAGCGAUUCAGGAACUCAUGUUCCAGUUGCUCCUAACUAUCGAUGGAGUUAGGCUCGAGAUCAGUAUACCAAUCAAAGGCAUUUCCCUUUAGGGAACGAACAAACUGUUUGACAAGAUAGUCACCAUAAGUUUCAGCAUUAUUACAUGUCUCGACAAAGUGUGCGACAUGUUGUUUUGGGUUACCUUUGCCCUCAAAUUGUUGACAUUUGGGGGGUUGAUAGCCAGCAGGCAUUUUGAGGCUAUCUAUUAUUGCAGUGUAAGGCUUGGCAUAUGCAAGGGAAGACUUGGUGACAACAUCAUACUUGUCUUAGAGGGUCCCUUCCAUAAAUUCCCUCAAUUGCCCAAUCGGAAUCAUUCCCUCAGCAGAAACUUGCACCUCUUUAGUCGAUGGUGUUUGUUUCACAAGAUUUUCUAUCUCAUGAAUCUCUGGAGUUUUUCCCGGCACAUGGCUAGAUUCUCCGUCUAUAAAGCCUUCUACCCUAUCCACUAUUUUAUCAAUCCUAGCCUCUUGAUUCUGAACAUAGUUGGUCAGACCUUCAAUUGCCUUUGUCAGAUUCGCAAGCUGCUCCUCCACAGACGAGGCAUCAGUUACCAUUGCUUGCAUGAUCACCGAAGAUAUUGGAGAGUAACACGGGUUAUCACAUAAGUUGAUCUUUGAAGUACUUAGUUUAUGUGGUGUAAGUGGAGAUGAUGCAUUUGUUGAACGACCAUCGCUCUUGGCUUCAGAGUAUUUGGAACCGGAAUGCUCAAGUAGACCUAGAGUCUUUUUCAGCGAUUCAGCCACACUGCUUCCUCCUUUUGAAACACUUGCAUUGGACUUCAUUCUUUUCGAGGUUGAAGAUCCAAAAAUUGGAGUUGGCACGGACGACACUGGAUGUGUUUAUUGUCCUAGCAAGCCUGCCUUGCUCUUUGUGACAGCUCCUAAGGUUCCGAAAGUAACACCAAGGAUGCUUUCUACUCCAGCAGAGAACUUUGAGUCAGCAGCCUUGGAGGCAGUUGAUUGAGAGUUGACCUUCUUGGAAGUCAUUUCGUUGUUCUUAAACUUUGAAGUAUGAAAAAUUGAGAUGAGAGGUAGAGAUUGUCCCACCGGGCGUGCCAGAAUUUGUUGGACAAUGAAAUUCUCGAGAUCGAAACAUAAAUAAUUUGAGAUAAGAAAAUAUAUAUUGCAACAAUCAAUUUUAUUGAUUUCAAUGCGAGGUUACAAUCUCUAUGAAUCCUCCGAUUCACCUUUUCAAAUAUAAAUUCAAGGGCUUGAAGCUUAUUCUUGAAUUUGAACUUGAUUUGAUGGACUUAAGAGACUUGAUCUUGACUUGUGCUUGAAUUCAAAGGUUUUUGAGCUUGUUCUUGAAUAUUACAGUCUUGAUCUUGAAUCUUGAUGAAUUUGAUUGAUUUGAAUGUCUGAGCUUUUUAGAGAAAUUAUGAUGUUUGAUCCACGAGCUUUCUCUUGCUACUUAUUAGAAUUCUGGGUUUUUUUUUUUAUUAUGAGACCCCUAUUUAUAGUUGUAGGAAAGAAAGAGUCAUGAUGAAUAUGGCUUCCUUUGACCAAUCAGAUUUAAGUGAUGUGGCGCUUUUUAUGAAAUUUUAUUUCAUGGGCCUGCUGCAUCAGUUUGACAUGUAGCACGGUCCUAUUGGGUCCUUCACUUGACUUGGCAUGCCACGUCAUUUGACACGUAACGCUUAUUUGGGCAUCUAGAAUAUGACAAUAUUCUUGGGCUUAGCAAAGUGGGUUCAUUAUUUAUAGUCCAAAUUAAUGGGCUAGCCCAAUAAAAAUUGGACUUUAAUUAAACCCAUAUAUGUUUGGACUUAAAUAAUUAAUCUAAUUAUAUUAAUCCACAAUAUUUAUUUAGGACUAAUAUAUUUUGAAUUUAAUAUAAUCCGAAUUUUGUACGAAUUUAAAUUUAAUAAAAUUGCAUCACCCACAAGAAGUACUUCCAAUAAAAUACUCUUGAUUUGUGAAAAUCGACAAUUAAAUUUGACCAUUACUACUUUAUUUAUUUAGUAUUUAAUAUAAAUGGUAAUAUGAGAAAGAAGUAAUAAAAUACUUUUAAUUUGUAAAAAUGAACAAGUAAAUUAAAACGUCUACUUUUAGUAUGAGGGUCAAAUAAAAUAAAAUCAAGGAAAUAAUAAGGAUAACAUAAAUAUGAAUUGAUAAAUUAUCCAUUAAUUUUUAAACUGAAUAAAUAUUAUUGUACAUAUAUUUUUACUGUAAUGAACAAGUAAAAGAUAAACAAGAAAGUAAACAACAACAACAACAAACCUAGUGUAUUUCUAUAAAGUGGGGUUUGGGAUGGUAAAGUGAGAAAAAGAAAGUAUCAUAAAAUUAAAAAGUCUUUUUCUUUUAAUUUUUUAAACUCAACGAUAAAUUAAAAUAUUGAAACAAAAUUAUUUGACUCAACACUGUCACACAAGUGUGCUUAAUAAGAUACCUUAUUAGUUAAGUAAUUGAAAAAGAGAAUCCCGCCACAAACAAAAAGACACUUGCACUUCCAUCACACACACUGUAUUGGGAUCUGUGUCAUAAGAGAAUAGCGCAGUGGAAGCAAGAGUACCUAAGAAUUUUCUUGUAGAAGAGAAAAAACAGUAAGAUGCAAAUCAAGAGAAUGAAAUCAGAUAUUGUGCUCAUCGAUAGCAGUAGUAGUAGUAGUGAAGAAGAAGAUGAUGAUGUUGAUUACGUAGGCGAUAGUAGUGAUGAAGAUAUUUGUGUUAUUAAUUCAAAGAAGAGGAAGAAAAUGGAGUUUUGUAGAGCUGAUCAAACCAAGAAAAGAGAGUCCAAAAUGUGUCAUCAGUGUCAGAGGUGUGAAAAACAAAGAGUAGUGUGUUGUUCAAGAUGCAAAGUUAAAAUAUAUUGCACUUCUUGCAUCACUAGAUGGUAAGUAAGAGUCGGUUUUUAAGUCUCUUUAUAUUAAAUAGGAAGUAAUGUUGCUUGGACUCUUAAUAGAUGUUGACCUGUUCGUGUUGGAUACUCCAAAAGUAGUGAAUUUUUGGAGGAUCCUAUACGCGUGCGGCAAAAUUAAGAAGUGCAUUUGUACCCUUAGUUUUUUCUCUAUUUGACACUUUAUAUUCCUCAAGGGGACUUGACUGAGAUGUUUUUAGCCAAAGAUAGAAACUUUUGAUAGUCAUAUUUCUGAUGUAUUGCUACUUAUUUUGAAUAUUUCUGUUAAUGAGUUUCCUGUACUCAGCCAUUGUAAGCUUGGAUACGUUCCAAAAUAAAGUUGUAGUCAUCCCUCUUUCUAUGAUGUUACAUGUAUAAUCAUACAUAAUUUGUAUUUAAGAAGAAUAGCCUAUAUACAUUAUACCUGUAAACCUGUUCACCUCACAUUUCUGUAGACACUAUCUGUUUAUCCGUAAAUGAUAGUUCCCGAUGCUCAUCAUUUAUGUUUUUUGUUUGUCCUCUACGUAGGUAUCCUGGGAUGCCAGAGGAGGACUUUUUAAAAGCUUGCCCUGUAUGUUGUAACGUUUGCAACUGCAUAGCAUGUUUGCGGUUAGAUGGAUCAGUGAAAGUAGGAUUCUUUCAAUUUUUCUCUUUGUCUAAUGCUCUAAAAACAUUUAUUAAUUAAAAUUGAGUGGUUCUCUUGUUUGCAUUGCAGCAUUUGUUGAAUGUAGAAGUGAAGUUCAGCGAUGAAGAAAAACUCGAGUACUCUAAGCACAUUGUACGAGCACUUUUGCCUGCUCUGGAACAAUUUAAUACCGAGCAAAUGAUUGAAAGGCAGAUUGAGUGUCAGAUUCAUGGUAUUAAAUCUCUCUAUUUAAUUUAUAGAGAGGCUGUGUCAUUUAAUAGGUUGUCAUAUACCGUUGGUAACACAGAUUAUUAAUGUGAGUGACUGAUUCUGCAAAUGCUGGCAUUCAAUGAAGCCAAAAAUCUCUAAGUUGAUUUGUGUUUCACGUUCACUUUUCUAAAUAGAAAGACUGGUUAUUUAAUGAACAAUGUUGAGUUUUGCGGCUGUAAUUCUUCAAGAAAAAGAUUGUGUCAUUUAGUACCAUUUUUCUUUCUUUGGACAGCAUUGCCAGAUUCAGAGAUUAAUAUACGGAAAGCAAACUACGAGAAGGAUGAUCGCAUUUCUUGGUGAGCAUUCACAUUUACCUUAGACUGCAAUUAUCUGAUAAGUUCACUGAUUAUUGAAUGUCACCCGUUAUUUGCAGUGACUAUUGCAGUGCUUUUAUUGUUGAUUUACACCGGAGUUGUUCAACAUGUUCGUAUGAACUUUGCCUUACAUGUUGCAAAGAAUUAAGGAAUGGCAACCUGCAAGCAUAUGCAUCCGAAGUGAGGAUGCAAUUAUUAACAAUGGACCAGAUUAUUUGCAUGGUAAAAGUUGUAGCAUAAUUUCAUGAAGAAUGAAACCACUGAAGCCAAGGUGGCAAUGACAUCUAAAUGGAAGUCCAUGGAAAGUGGUGCCAUUCGUUGCCCUCCCAAAGAUAUGGGAGGCUGUGGUAAAGGAACCUUACAUUUGAGAUGUAUAUUUUCUGAGAAUUGGAUAUCACAGCUGUUACUGAAAGCAAAAGAAAUAGCGCAAAAAUGUUAGCUGAAGGAAAUGCAUCAUGAUUCAGAACUGCACUACUCCUGUUCAAAGUCUAAGGGUGAAAAUGGUGUUUCUAGUGGCAAGCUACGUAAGGUAGCUGAUCGGGAAAAUUCUGAUGAUAACUAUGUAUUCUGUCCAGCAGCUGUGGAUACUCGGCGCGCAAAUUUGAGGCAUUUUCGGCUGUACUUAUCUAAGGGUGAACCAGUUGUUGUAACUAACGUUCAUGACAACGCAUUGGGAUUGAGCUGGGAGCCUAUGGUGAUGUGGCGUGCUUGUUGACAAACCGAUAGGACCACUGAUGUUUUAAAUUGCUUGAAUUGGUGCAAGGUUUGUCCAGUCAUCAUCUCUUCUUGAACUGUGAAACACAAUCUAAUGUUGUUACAUCUUAUGCCAUGCUUGAAUAUGGUCUCCAUAAAUGCUGCAUGACUAGGCAAGACUACUAAUAUCUCCAUUCUGGUAUUAGCUAUGUAGUUCAAUGUCUUCAUAAAACACAAUCUUGUCCCUAAUAUAGCUUAAAAUUUUCAACUUGAUGCGAUUAGAAGACAUGAUUGGGAUCUAUUGAGUUGUGUUAUAUACGGUCUCUUUUUUGUUAUUUAGUCUAGUUCAGAACUUGAUCUCAUUGUUACAUUUGGCAGCUCUAUGAUUUGUUCAUUACAUCGGGUGUGAGUGAAGUUCCCAAAUCAACGAAUUACCAGAAACUGGAUUGAGGAUAUUUUAAUCCCAAGAUGCGACUGAAUUUAAACCUCAAUAUACGUUUUGAAUGAAUUUGUGGUUUAAAAGAAACACGUCAACAUGCUCUUUAAUUGAGGUGUAGGUUCUGGUACAUUAUAUCUUACUUUAUCCUGGAUACCAUGCAGUUGGAAAUGAACAUACACCAGUUUUUUAAAGGAUACAUGGAGGGUCGCUCGGACAGUCAUGAGUGGCCUAAACUCUUAAAAUUGAAUGACUGGCCGCCAUCAGGUCUAUUUGAUGAGCGGCUGCCGCGUCAUGGUGCCGAAUUUUCUAGUUGUUUACCUUUUAUGGAAUAUACACAUCCUCAGUAUGGUUAUCUCAAUCUUGCUCUAAGACUUCCUGAUGGCUGUUGGAAGCCAGAUUUGGGGCCCAAGGCCUACAUUGCAUAUGGUUUUCCUAUGGAGCUUGGACGUGGAGACUCAGUCACCAAACUGCACUAUUCUGUGACUGAUACGGUAUGUUUGGCUCCUUAAAUGUAGUGUAACAAGAUGCUUGUACCGUAGAGAUCUAGAUACUCCGAAAUAUUAACAUGCUCUCUAAAAUUGAAGAACUUGCAAAAAAGCCAUAUAGAAGUUCCUGCUCAAGGUUUUAUUGUUCUUUUAAAUUAUGUUUGUUUUAGGUCAACGUGUUGAUGCACACUCAAGAUGUGGUCCCAACAGUUGAACAACUCUCGGCCAUAGAGAACUUGAAACAGAUUCACAAAGCGCAGGAUCGGAGGGAAUUUGUAGCUGAUGCUCACAAGAUGCAUGAGGGCAUUAAGGAUGACAUAGUAAAUAAAAAAUCUGUUUCGAAAGGGCCGAACUUUUCUCAAAAGAAGCAGAAUUGUGAUGAUUUGAAAGUUGAGAAUAGUAGGAAAGCUAAGAAUAAGAUGCAUGAGGGCAUUAAGGAUGACAUAGUAAAUGGAAAAUCUGUUUCGAAAGGGCCGAACUUUUCACAAAAGAAGCAGAAUUGUGAUGAUUUGAAAGUUGAGAAUAGUAGGAAAGCUGAGAAUAAGAAGUGUAGUCAAAAAAGUGUAAAACUUUAUUGUGAAACAAACAAAGAGGGAGAAGAAUACCGAUACAGAGAAGAUAGUAUAUCUCUUAUUGUGUAGGAUAGGUCUGAAGGAUUUGAAGAGGCUGAUGGUGGUGCUCUAUGGGACAUCUUUAGGAGGCAAGAUGUUCCUAAAUUGGAGGAAUAUCUCAGGAAGCACUUCAGGGAAUUUAGGCACAUAUAUGGCUCACCGUUGCCGCUGGUAAAGAUUAGCAGGCAUCUUUCAUUUCUCCAUUUUGCAAUUUCUAAAGUAAUUUUAUCUUUAUUCAUGUCUUUCCUCCACGACCGUUGUCAUUCGGUGUUGCUAAUCAUCUUUUACUCAAAAAGGGCGUUAAAAUUUAAAUUUCGAUCCUAUACUCAUCACUAAAGAUUAACUUUACUCCCAAGCAAAGAUUUUUGAGACCUUUUCGUUUAGCUUUCUUAUUACAUGAAAAUGCUAAUUAGUGACUAUGGUUCAACUAGUGAACCAUUAACUGAGUGUUUGAUAUUUUGCUCUAUGGUGAUUGACUGAUUGCCUGUGUGAUGUUAGAUAUUGGCAAUUCUCAUAAUAAUCACUUUGAUGCUUAGAGAGAAAUGUAAUGUACGUUAUAGUAUGUACUUUUGCUAUGUUGAUAGAUGUUACUUAUGGUUCAGAAAUCUACAUAUCUUAGCUAGCCAAAGUUACAGUAGAAAUUUGAUACUGCAUUAAACUCCAAUAUAUUUCCUAGUAUCCCAAUUGAUUAAUACAAAAUACAUUGAUUAAACUUUAAUAUAUUUUUUCCAUCGCAGGUUGUUCAUCCCAUUUUUGAUGAAACUUUUUACUUGAGCACUGAGCAUAAAAGGAGGCUAAAGGAAGAAUAUGGUCAUCUUAUUCUCUUACUCGUUGCCAUUUCCUUGCAUGUCUCAUGUGAAAAACAUUUUCUGAGACUGCGUCUUGUGUUCACUACGCUUUCAUUUCCUUUUGCAGGCAUUGAACCAUGGACUUUUGUUCAAAAAUUAGGUGAAGCUGUUUUCAUUCCUGCUGGAUGCCCUCAUCAAGUCAGAAAUUUAAAGGUAUACAGAUAGUUCUUCUCUCUAUCCCAUGUCAUCCUAUCCAAUGUUGUCAAAUGCGUGCGUAGUCCUAAAGCUCUGAAUGUGUUGAGCGCUUCACCUUGCUUUAGAUGCACUUCAGUCUCAUUAUCAAGGUUCUGAGUCAUACUUUUCCUUGCCAAUGAGCCCCUUUUGAAGAGAUGACACUAAACAGCUGGUAUUUCAACUUUAUCGUACUUUUUUUUCUAAUUUCUUUGUUCAUGUAUUUACCAUUUAGGCUUCUUGUUAUUAUUACCCCAUUGCACCUUUUUCUAGAUAUUUAGGACUAAUUGUAGGCAGGUACACUUCAUUUUCUGGAAAUGUGAAUGGAUGCUGAUAUGAUUUACAAUAGUAGGAUCUUAGCUUAGUGAACCAUAAUUCUAGUACUUUUAUGAGCUCAGCUCAUUGACUUUUGGUGUGUUCAUCUUUUACAGUCCUGUAUCAACGUCACUGUAGAUCUCCUGAAAAUGUGAAUGAGUGCAUCUGUUUGACUGAGGAACUUCGCAAGCUUCCCAGAAAUCAUGAUGCUAGGGCAGACAAGUUGGGGGUAUUUGGAUCCUUAUAUAUUCUUCUUUUUUCUCCUUUAUUUCCGCUGGAAGUAUAAUUGUCUCGUUUCAUCGUUGUUCACUUUUUUCCGGACCUUGUUUUCAUUCAUUGCUUUAUUUAUCAUUAUUAUUUUAUUUGUGUUUCGGCAUGGAAAAGCUAUGUAAACAUAUUCACAGCAUUCUUCCUUUUAUCUUCUUACCAUGUAGCUUAGCAUACCUAUUUUGGUAAUGUCGCAUCAAAGUGUUUAAACAGUUCCACCGUCUAUGCAGCCUUUUGCAUAUGAGUCCUUGGUCCUGUCUCAUUACAUGUUACAAGCUUUUACACUAUCUACGUUGAUGUUAAAAUGGUAUCCGCUUUGAUUUAAUUCGGUUUCAUCUGUAAUGUUAGUUUCUUUCUGAAAACAGUGUUUGCGUGUGUAAAUAAUGCUAAAAUCUGUCUGUAACUCUUCAGGUAAAGAAAAUAAUUGUUCGUGCUAUGAGCCAAGCAGUGGAUCAAUUGGAGAAGACACUAUUGUAAGAUUGUUGUUCCUUGUUUUCACAAAAUUAUAUAUUUCAUUGAAAAAAGAGCUAAUGGUUAAAAGCGCACCUAAAUUAUCACCUUCUUGUGAUUUCAUACCUACAUUACCCAUUGUUUUACUAACCUACCCAAACUAUCAUCUUUUGUGAGUUUCAUACCUCAACUAUCACUCCCUUUGUUUUAAAACACGCCUUGAUGCCGAGUUGGCCUACAUGCAUCUGUUGCCAAUUGGAAGCAAAUAUUCGGCCAACUCAGCAUCAAGGUGUGUUUUAAUACCAAGGGGGUGAUAGUUUAGGUAGGUAAAGGGAACAAUCAAUAAUUGAGGUGUGAAACUUGCGAAAAAGCGAUAGUUUAGGUGUGUUAUUGAUCAUUAACUCGUAACAAUGAACAGAAAUCUGGAUAUCUCUUUGCUUCUAUCUUUCUGUGCCUUGCAUAAUCCUUUUGCAUUUAGGCCUUAUUCUGGAUAUGCUUAAAGCAUAAUUUCAUUUGUACUUGUCAGAUAUGGAACUUUUAUCUUCUGGUGUUUUCAUUCUAGAUAUGCUUCUAUCUUAUGUUGAAACACAUAUGACAUAACCAUUCAAAGACAAGGUAAAAUAUACUGGUUGCGUUGUUGCAGCAUAAUGCAUUUGAGGGGGAAAACUGUUGGGAACUCACCCAGAUGAAUUUCAAUACGCCUACUCCUCAUCACAAUUUAUUUAACAAGCCCAUUAUUAGCAGUCCAAUAGUCAGCCAUUGUCAAAAAGUCCAGGCCCAAAGGCCCAUCUAAGCUCAUAAAGAAGAAAAAAAAACAAUAAUUAUAUAAAAUUUCCAUUUCAACCCUCCAACAAAUCACCCUAACACAAAAGCCCCUAAACUUUUUCAGCGACCAUAACAAUUUGUAAGCUAAAAAGAGAAAACCUUUGUGAAAUCUCAAUCUCAACUAUGUCUUCCAACAACCUGUCUUCCAACAACCCUUCUCAACUUCUUCCUUCUGGUACAUUCUUGAACUUUGUGCUAUUUAUGUUCUUGAUUUUUUUUAUUUUUUUUUGAUGUAAUUUUUUGCUACUUUUAUGAGAUGGUUUUUUUAGUUUUAUGUAUUUAAUUUUGCAGAGUUGAUUGAUCGUUGUAUUGGUU
Molecule: long non-coding RNA, 21750 nt
Filed under: Capsicum annuum
Lineage: Eukaryota; Viridiplantae; Streptophyta; Magnoliopsida; Solanales; Solanaceae
Description: long non-coding RNA (CANN_LNC005865)
Source: RNAcentral